This is a long non-coding RNA of Spea bombifrons (plains spadefoot toad), 338 nucleotides long. RefSeq lists it as uncharacterized. The record is from RefSeq and is a predicted model, not a curated record. NCBI's taxonomy places the organism in Eukaryota, Metazoa, Chordata, Amphibia, Anura, Pelobatidae. The transcript is spliced from 3 exons.
AGGGUACAAUAGGUAUUAAUACUUUAGGAAAAUAGGGCUUUGCCUUAAAGACUUUACAGUCUAAGAAGUAGUAGGUAGUGGGCAGAUACAAUCAGGAGGAGGUAAUUGAUUUAGAGAGCCGACUAGCAGCCUAUAUGGACUACAUAUAGGACAUCCUAAAGUGCCACCACAUAUAAGGUACAGGAUUGCCAUCUAGGGCCCAUUUUGCCAACCACAUACCACUGACAUGGUUGGCACUGAAAAUGUAGAAUGUAAAUAGAAAACAGGGCAAGAUCUCUCAAAGGGUCUACCCAAACCAGUUGAAAAAAUAAAGCAUUUAUAUAAAAGAGCCCCUAGCA